This 471-nucleotide ribosomal RNA is filed under the name uncultured bacterium. RNAcentral's name for it is "bacterial SSU rRNA". It matches the Rfam family "Bacterial small subunit ribosomal RNA", at positions 8 to 526 of the family's 1533-position model. The record is from RNAcentral.
AGAGUUUGAUCCUGGCUCAGGAUGAACGCUGGCGGCGUGCUUAACACAUGCAAGUCGAACGAACCUUCGGGUUAGUGGCGGACGGGUGAGUAACGCGUGAGAAUCUGCCCUCAGGAGGGGGAUAACGGUUGGAAACGACCGCUAAUACCCCAUAUGCCUACUGGUGAAAUGAAUUUCGCCUGAGGAUGAGCUCGCGUCUGAUUAGCUAGUUGGUGAGGUAAUGGCUCACCAAGGCUUCGAUCAGUAGCUGGUCUGAGAGGAUGAUCAGCCACACUGGGACUGAGACACGGCCCAGACUCCUACGGGAGGCAGCAGUGGGGAAUUUUCCGCAAUGGGCGAAAGCCUGACGGAGCAACGCCGCGUGAGGGACGAAGGCCUCUGGGCUGUAAACCUCUUUUCUCAAGGAAGAAGAUAUGACGGUACUUGAGGAAUAAGCCACGGCUAAUUCCGUGCCAGCCGCCGCGGUAAUAC